AUUGAACGCUGGCGGCAUGCCCUACACAUGCAAGUCGAACGGCAGCACGGGUGCUUGCACCUGGUGGCGAGUGGCGAACGGGUGAGUAAUACAUCGGAACAUGUCCUGUAGUGGGGGAUAGCCCGGCGAAAGCCGGAUUAAUACCGCAUACGAUCUACGGAUGAAAGCGGGGGACCUUCGGGCCUCGCGCUAUAGGGUUGGCCGAUGGCUGAAUAGCUAGUUGGUGGGGUAAAGGCCUACCAAGGCGACGAUCAGUAGCUGGUCUGAGAGGACGACCAGCCACACUGGGACUGAGACACGGCCCAGACUCCUACGGGAGGCAGCAGUGGGGAAUUUUGGACAAUGGGCGAAAGCCUGAUCCAGCAAUGCCGCGUGUGUGAAGAAGGCCUUCGGGUUGUAAAGCACUUUUGUCCGGAAAGAAAUCCUUGGCCCUAAUACGGUCGGGGGAUGACGGUACCGGAAGAAUAAGCACCGGCUAACUACGUG
Molecule: ribosomal RNA, 486 nt
Filed under: uncultured bacterium
Lineage: Bacteria
Description: partial 16S ribosomal RNA
Rfam family: Bacterial small subunit ribosomal RNA
Source: RNAcentral